This 1461-nucleotide ribosomal RNA is filed under the name uncultured Bordetella sp. RNAcentral's name for it is "partial 16S-23S ribosomal RNA intergenic spacer". It matches the Rfam family "Bacterial small subunit ribosomal RNA". Lineage: Bacteria; Pseudomonadati; Pseudomonadota; Betaproteobacteria; Burkholderiales; Alcaligenaceae. The record is from RNAcentral.
UUUGAUUCUGGCUCAGAUUGAGCAUGGCGGGAUGCUACACAUGCAAGUCGAACGGCACGGACUUCGGUCUGGUGGCGAGUGGCGAACGGGUGAGUAAUGUAUCGGAACGUGCCUAGUAGCGGGGGAUAACUACGCGAAAGCGUAGCUAAUACCGCAUACGCCCUUCGAGGAAAGCGGGGGACCUUCGGGCCUCGCACUAUUAGAGCGGCCGAUAUCGGAUUGAAAGCUGGUUGAAUGGGGUAACGGCUCACCAAGGCGACGAUCCGUAGCUGGUUUGAAGGGACGACCAGCCACACUGGGACUGAGACACGGCCCGACUCCUACGGGGAGGCAGCAGUGGGGAAUUUUGGACAAUGGGAAACCCUGAUCCAGCCAUCCCGCGUGUGCGAUGAAGGCCUUCGGGUUGUAAAGCACUUUUGGCAGGAAAGAAACGGCACGGGAUAAUACCUGAUGCAAUGACGAUACAGAAUAAGCACCGGCUAACUACGUGCCAGCAGCCGCGGUAAUACGUAGAGGUGCAAUAAUCGGAAUUACUGGGCGUAAAGCGUGCGCAGGCGGUUCGGAAAGAAAGAUGUGAAAUCCCAGAGCUUAACUUUGGAACUGCAUUUUUAACUACCGAGCUAGAGUGUGUCAGGAGGUGGAAUUCCGCGUGUAGCAGUGGAGAAUGCGUAGAUAUGCGGAGGAACACCGAUGGCGAAGGCAGCCUCUGGGAUAACACUGACGCUCAUGCACGAAAGCGUGGGAGCAAACAGGAUUAGAUACCCUGGUAGUCCACGCCCUAAACGAUGUCAACUAGCUGUUGGGGCCUUCGGGCCUUGGUAGCGCAGCUAACGCGUGAAGUUGACCGCCUGGGGAGUACGGUCCUGCAAGAUUAAAACUCAAAGGAAUUGACGGGGACCCGCACAAGCGGUGGAUGAUGUGGAUUAAUUCGAUGCAACGCCAAACCUACCCUUGACAUGUCUGGAAUCCCGAAGAGAUUUGAGUGCUCGCAAGAGAACCGGAACACAGGUGCUGCAUGGCUGUCGUCAGCUCGUGUCGUGAGAUGUUGGGUUAAGUCCCGCAACGAGCGCAACCCUUGUCAUUAGUUGCUACGAGGGCACUCUAAUGAGGUUUUGCCGGUGACAAACCGGAGGAAGGUGGGGAUGACGUCAAGUCUCCGUAGCCCUUAUGGGUAGGGCUUCACACGUCAUACAAUGGUCGGGACGGAGAGAGAUUAACCAGCCUUGAGAACCAAUCCCAGAAACCCGAUCGUAGUCCGGAUCUGGUCUGCAACUCGACUGCGUGAAGUCGGAAUCGCUGGUAAUCGCGGAUCAGCAUGUCGCGGUGAAUACACGUUCGGGUCUUGUACACCGCUACGUCACACCAUGGAAUUGGGUUUUACCAGAAGUAGUUAGUCUAACCGUAAAGGAGGGCGAUUACCACGGUAGGAUUCAUGACUGAGGUGAAGUCGGCAACAGGUAG